Molecule: small nuclear RNA, 106 nt
Organism: Bison bison bison
Lineage: Eukaryota; Metazoa; Chordata; Mammalia; Artiodactyla; Bovidae
Source: Ensembl
GUGCUCUUUUCAGCAGCACUACAGUAAAAUUAGAGACAUGGAGAAGAUGAGCACGGCCCCUGAGGAAGAAUAACAUACAAAUUCAAAUGAAGCAUUUCAUAUUUUU